RNAcentral lists this ribosomal RNA (447 nucleotides) under uncultured bacterium. Its description in RNAcentral is "partial 16S ribosomal RNA". It matches the Rfam family "Bacterial small subunit ribosomal RNA", at positions 29 to 523 of the family's 1533-position model. The record is from RNAcentral.
AGCGAACGCUGGCGGCAGGCUUAACACAUGCAGGUCGAACGCCCCGCAAGGGGAGUGGCAGACGGGUGAGUAACACGUGGGAACGUACCCUUUGGUUCGGAAUAACUUGGGGAAACUCAAGCUAAUACCGGAUAAGCCCUUAUGGGGAAAGGUUUACUGCCGAAGGAUCGGCCCGCGUCUGAUUAGCUAGUUGGUGAGGUAAUGGCUCACCAAGGCGACGAUCAGUAGCUGGUCUGAGAGGAUGAUCAGCCACACUGGGACUGAGACACGGCCCAGACUCCUACGGGAGGCAGCAGUGGGGAAUAUUGGACAAUGGGGGCAACCCUGAUCCAGCCAUGCCGCGUGAGUGAUGAAGGCCUUAGGGUUGUAAAGCUCUUUUACCCGGGACGAUAACGACUGUACCGGGAGAAUAAGCCCCGGCUAACUUCGUGCCAGCCGCCGCGGUAA